GCCUUAGUAGCUCAGUGGUAGAGCGUUUGCCUAGUAUCACGGGUCAUACCCCGAUGCCAGCAAAAGGUCCAGUGUUCGACUCACUGUUGAGGCA
Puccinia sorghi is the source of this 94-nucleotide transfer RNA. It matches the Rfam family "tRNA". From Rfam's summary of the family: Transfer RNA (tRNA) molecules are approximately 80 nucleotides in length. The record is from Rfam. Lineage: Eukaryota; Fungi; Basidiomycota; Pucciniomycetes; Pucciniales; Pucciniaceae.